UCCGGUUGAACUAAGGAGCAAUGACAUCCC
This 30-nucleotide non-coding RNA is filed under the name Homo sapiens (human). Lineage: Eukaryota; Metazoa; Chordata; Mammalia; Primates; Hominidae. The record is from RNAcentral.